GGGACGUUAGCUCAGUUGGUAGAGCAGCAGCCUUUUAAGCUGAUGGUCGCAGGUUCAAUCCCUGCACGUCCCACAA
This 76-nucleotide transfer RNA is filed under the name Candidatus Kerfeldbacteria bacterium CG_4_9_14_3_um_filter_45_8. Its description in RNAcentral is "tRNA-Lys". It matches the Rfam family "tRNA". Rfam says of the family: Transfer RNA (tRNA) molecules are approximately 80 nucleotides in length. Their secondary structure includes four short double-helical elements and three loops (D, anti-codon, and T loops). RNAcentral also lists the same sequence under 1 other name. The record is from RNAcentral. Lineage: Bacteria; Candidatus Kerfeldiibacteriota.